Molecule: ribosomal RNA, 495 nt
Filed under: uncultured bacterium
Lineage: Bacteria
Description: partial 16S ribosomal RNA
Rfam family: Bacterial small subunit ribosomal RNA
Source: RNAcentral
GACGAACGCUGGCGGCGUGCCUAAUACAUGCAAGUAGAACGCUGAAGGAGGAGCUUGCUCUUCUGGAUGAGUUGCGAACGGGUGAGUAACGCGUAGGUAACCUGCCUGGUAGCGGGGGAUAACUAUUGGAAACGAUAGCUAAUACCGCAUAACAGUAGAUGUUGCAUGACAUUUGCUUAAAAGGUGCAAUUGCACCACUACCAGAUGGACCUGCGUUGUAUUAGCUAGUUGGUGGGGUAACGGCUCACCAAGGCGACGAUACAUAGCCGACCUGAGAGGGUGAUCGGCCACACUGGGACUGAGACACGGCCCAGACUCCUACGGGAGGCAGCAGUAGGGAAUCUUCGGCAAUGGACGGAAGUCUGACCGAGCAACGCCGCGUGAGUGAAGAAGGUUUUCAGAUCGUAAAGCUCUGUUGUAAGAGAAGAACGAGUGUGAGAGUGGAAAGUUCACACUGUGACGGUAUCUUACCAGAAAGGGACGGCUAACUACGUG